AUUCAAGUGUAUACUUAAAAAGAUAUUGUAUUGUAUCUGUAAACUUAAAGUUUUUCCAUAGCUUUCAACUUUUUGGUUAUUUCAAUUAUCCUAUGAUUGGAAAUAGAAGUUACCUUUUGGCUUGGGUAUACUUUACUGUCUGUCUCUAUGCCCCAACUUUUCCUUCCUCUUCUGUGGUUCCUAAAUUUAGGUGAUGACUGAAUGGGAACUGGCGAGUAAGCAUCGUGGUGAUUCUGUCAAGAGAAUUUGCUGACUUUGGGUUAUCCUGGUUUACGAUAUAUUCCAUUUACAUUUCCUGAUGAAAAAUACCCCAGUUACUCCACCUUUGCUGUAUGUAUUUAGUUUGUCCAUUUUUAGUAUCUAACUGUGGAGGUGAUGAUCCAUUGAUGAAGGUCAACUAAGUAUGUAUGGGAAGGAGGCAGGAUGGCUCAUUUUCUUUUUAGUCUCAGGAGACCCCAUAGCUGACACCUUUUUAGACCUGAAGCAGUGUUCAUGUUCUCCUCUCUCUAUGACACCACUUACGGGAGAAAUUGUGAGGAGUUUUACCAGCACAGUCUUUGGGGUCAUAUGAGCUUGACUCCUAAACUUUUCAAGUCCUAGUUUCUUUUUUUACCUGCAGCUUUAUUGAGGUGUAGUUGACAGAUAAAAUUGUAUAUAUUCAAAGUAUACAGUCUGAUGAUGUAAUACACAUUGCAAAAUAUUUACUAUAAUCAAAUGAACACCUCAUUCAUCCACAUUUACAUUGUUUUGUGUGUGAGAAUACUUAAGAUCUAGUCUCUAGGCAACUUUCAAUAUGCAGUCAACAUUUUUAGUUACAGUCACCAGUGGUGGACAUUAGGUCCUUAGAACUUCCUCUUGUUGCAACUGGAACUUUGUACUCUUUGACCAACCUGUUUCCAUUUCUCCAACCCCUCAACCCUGGCAACCACCAUUCUACUCUCUGUUUCUAUGAGUUCACAAGUCCCAAAUUCUUUAUCAGCAAAAAGAGCGCAAUAAUACUAUCUGUUGCAUAAUUGCCUGGAGAUUCUUUUGAGGAUUGAGGUGUGAUGCCAUGCUUACAAAGCACUAAGUCGAUAGCCCAGUAUAUAGUACCUCUAGAUCAACGUUAGCUAUUAUAAUUCGGUGGUAGUAUUGAUAUCCCAAGUAAUUGGUAUGUUACAGAACAUCGAAUAACAGGUUAGGUCACAGUAUCAAAAGCAACAUUGCUUCUAUGAAAUAGAAGGCCUUCUGCACUCAGAACCCCAUUGUGGCCCCUUUAUGGUCAGCCAGCUUCUGGUCACAAGUCAGACUUUUAUGUGCUAAGCCCUUCACUUCUCACUUGGAUAUUAGUAAUGCUGUAUCUGGAGUGUGGGUAAUAUAUCUUUAAAAGAUUGCAGACUACUAUUUAUGCACAAGUGACCAUGAAAAAAAUUGCAUUGUGUUGUAAUAAAAGAACCCUCUCAACUAGAACUGAAGUGUUGUUUCCACAACACUGAAAGAGAGACGAAACAAAGCAAACUGGAAAAGCUGCUUGGUGUUGUAGGCAAGUGGAAGAGGAGCGAUCAGGAACUCAGAACAGAUGAGAUUUAGCUGACCAUUGAAGACGUGAAAAUGGCAGCAGAGGGGGCGUUCCAGGUGCCCUGAAGUGAUGGAGCCCAUAACAAUGCUGAAUAUACGGCAAAGGUUUGUGUUCUGUGUAGCUGAAUUCAAUCUGCAACUGAUGUAAGCACCAAUUAGGAAGUUUUACAAGGUGAGUAGCAGAUGAGAAGCUGUAGGGAGUUGGACUGUGGUAGGGUCAGCCUCAAUAGAAAUGGAAAUGAAUGUAGCCAGGAGAUGCACACUGGGGAUAGAUAGGCAUCAUAAGACAGUUACCUAUUGGAUGUGUGGCCGGGGUGGGGGGAAAGGGAGGAAUCCUGUAUGACUUGAGAGUUUAAGCUUGGGUGAUCAAGAAAAUGGUAACAUUAUUGACAAACCAGAGAUAGCUGUAGGAAGAGAGAGCUUGAGUGGCAAAUAAAUGAAAGUACAUUUUAGAUGAGUGAAUUUGACUCCUGAAAGAAAAGCCCAGACAAUCCAAGUGCUGAAUCAGUAAUACAGACUCUUAAGCCCUUAGAUUGGUAGGAAGGAGAGAUUGGGGUAAGGCAAGGGGUCUUACAUUCCAUUGCAGGACUUCUUUUUUUUUUUUUUUUUUUUAACACUUCCCAUGAUGAAGAUGGACCGUAACUAUUGGUCAGGAUUUUUAACCAUGGGUUUAAACCGCAUCUGGGAAAUAUAUAAUCAUUUUCUCUGGGGCACAAUGUCUAGAAAAAUGCUUUGCUUAGCUAAGGCAUAGGUCUGCUCCGAGAGUAGAAUAUGGGCUAGGUGACCUCUGGAUGUGCUUUAUAGUUCUGUGAUUCUAUAAUUAUCUCAGGCUUCAAAUCACUUUCUAGGGAACAGCAAAUAAUUCUUACUAAUAAAACACAAUUUGAAACUUGGAACUGAAAUUACACAUUUUCAAUAAAGUGUUGUAAUAAAGUUAGCGACUGGAGACUCCCCCUAGGAAUAAAGAGUGAAAUGUAUUGGUUGGCCACUCGUGCAAGGCAGAGCUAAAGUCUACAUUGAUUCAUCACGUGCAAGAUGUGGAUGCUCUAUAUAAGUUUUAAAUAUAAACCUGACAGUAAAUGAAAGAUCCAAAAGGACAUUGUUAUUUAACCGUGGAAUCUGCAGUUAAUAUCAAUAGGUGCUCUAAAGUCUAAAUUCUGCAUCAACCCCACUGAGAAACUUCUGCCUGAUUCUAGUUCCUGCAUUUAGUUCCUGUCUGAAACCUCUUUAUUGGACAGUGGAUGGAAAUCCAUCUCAGGGUUCUUUAUAAUUUUACCAACAAUAAGAGAGCAGUGUUAUUAGAAAAGGUAGCAAAAAUAUGGGGAGCUUUAUACCAAUAAAAGUUUAUCCUAAAUCCCCCCAGAUUCAGAAGAGCAGUUAUUUGGGCAAUUUGGUUUUUCAGAGACUUCAGUAUAUGACAGAGAGCAAUUAUUUACAUAAAUUAUUUAUGGUGCAGUGAAUCAUUUUCUUAAGGAUUCUAUUUCCCACAGACAUGUAGUGCUUAUGAAGUGUAGGCUUAUACAUAUAUUAAAGUGCAGUGGUUUCUCGAGUGUCUUCAGGUAGUAGGUGUUCCUCCAAAAAUCAGGCCAGGGUCAGAUAAGUUUGAGAUGUUCUUUUAUUUAUUUAUUUUUUAAUUUUUUUUUUAAUGUUUAUUUAUUUUUGAGACAGACAGAGCAUGAAUGGGGGAGG
Felis catus (domestic cat) is the source of this 3246-nucleotide long non-coding RNA. RefSeq lists it as uncharacterized. The record is from RefSeq and is a predicted model, not a curated record. The transcript has 3 exons. NCBI's taxonomy places the organism in Eukaryota, Metazoa, Chordata, Mammalia, Carnivora, Felidae.